GCUUUGAAGUGAGGCAUGGCUGGUGGUUCUCUGACACGUGAACAGUAUUUUCCUAUAUCCUUUAUCAUUAGUAACAAUGCAUACAUUAAGCCUGGGUUGAUUAGGCCCUGGUUUGUGUUGAAGUAGCUUAUGUGUUCUAUGGAAGUUCCACAUCAUUCAGUGUUGCAAACAAGUCAACAACAGAACCAUACAGGCCUCCACAGUGACUAAGGGUGUAGCAAUGGAAGCUGGGGUCAGAGCACAGGGUCAGCGAUGUUGCGGCACCCCUGGAGCACAGCCGGUUAAGGGCCUUGCCCAAGGGCCCCAAGAGUGGUAGGAGCAAUACCAGGAAUUGAACCGCUAACCUUGUCAUAAGUAACCCAGAGCCUUAACCACUAAGCUACCAUCUCUCCUGCUUUUAAUUAUGAGGUUAAUGAAGCCGUGCCCACCUCCUGUAGAUGACCUCACCAGGAGGCGGCCGUAUAAAGUGUUUCGUGUUUUGUGAUUAAAUUUGAAUUUACCUACGCCUGUUCCGACUUCGAGUUUGCCCUGUACUGUUUUUGCGUCUUGGAGAGCUGAUUGUAAAUACUUUCUGUACUAAAUCAGUUGUAAAUAUAUGUACAUAUGUGUGUUGUCAUGCUCACUGGUAGUAAGGCUGUGGCUGCCAUUUGUGUUGGGUGUGGGUUUCUUGCCUGUUUUUGAUGAGAUACUGACUUAUGCAGUCUCCUCUGACCAGUGGAUGUUGAAAUAUGUCUGAAAUAUGAAAUACUUGAACCCUGAGAAGUGUUUAUGUAAAUCAGUGGUUUCUGAGGCCAGUAAUUUUGAUAAACUAAUUGUUCACAACAGAGGUAGCUACUGGUCCUCCUUUCUAUGGACAGUCCUCAUGAGAGCCUUUUUAAUCAUAGUGGUUGAUGGUUUUGGAGAAUGUGCUUGGCAAUAUUUUUAAAGUUCUUAUGAUUUUUCGGAAUGACUAAACUUAAUUUCUUAAAGUGA
Molecule: long non-coding RNA, 972 nt
Organism: Silurus meridionalis
Lineage: Eukaryota; Metazoa; Chordata; Actinopteri; Siluriformes; Siluridae
Exons: 3
Source: RefSeq, a predicted model, not a curated record